UUUAAUCCUUUUGCAUGGAGUUGGAUUCGUGCUGCAGCCAGUUUGGGAACACGGCGCUAAUUGAAAACCUUUCAGAAGAACUCAGUCGCACUCUAUAGUCUGCAAAGCAGAGACAGACAUUUAAAGAAAGUGAAAUGGAACACAUUGGGGAAAGGCUGUUAUUCAUUACAGCAGGGAUUUCAAGAACCACAUGACCACCCAUCUCCAAAAUCCUCAUUAUCUGCCUGAAGUAUCUUUCAAAAAAGGAGGCAAAAGAACUAGAUUAAACUUGUGGAGAAUUCUCAUUGUUGCAAGGAAACAUCC
This 303-nucleotide long non-coding RNA is filed under the name Gallus gallus (chicken). Lineage: Eukaryota; Metazoa; Chordata; Aves; Galliformes; Phasianidae. The record is from RNAcentral.